GAACGCGAAGAACCUUACCUGGUCUUGACAUGUACGGAAUCCUCCAGAGACGGAGGAGUGCCUUCGGGAGCCGUAACACAGGUGCUGCAUGGCUGUCGUCAGCUCGUGUCGUGAGAUGUUGGGUUAAGUCCCGCAACGAGCGCAACCCUUGUCAUUAGUUGCCAUCAUUUAGUUGGGCACUCUAAUGAGACUGCCGGUGACAAGCCGGAGGAAGGUGGGGAUGACGUCAAGUCCUCAUGGCCCUUAUGACCAGGGCUUCACACGUCAUACAAUGGUCGGUACAGAGGGUAGCCAAGCCGCGAGGUGGAGCCAAUCUCACAGAACCGAUCGUAGUCCGGAUUGCACUCUGCAACUCGAGUGCAUGAAGUCGGAAUCGCUAGUAAUCGCAGGUCAGCAUACUGCGGUGAAUACGUUCCCGGGUCUUGUACACACC
This 433-nucleotide ribosomal RNA is filed under the name uncultured bacterium. RNAcentral describes it as "bacterial SSU rRNA". It matches the Rfam family "Bacterial small subunit ribosomal RNA", at positions 957 to 1391 of the family's 1533-position model. The record is from RNAcentral.